GAGUUUGAUUCUGGCUCAGGACGAACGCUGGCGGCGUGCCUAAUACAUGCAAGUCGAACGAACGGAGAAAGAAGCUUGCUUUUUUCAAAGUUAGUGGCGAACGGGUGAGUAACACGUGGGUAACCUGCCCAUCAGAGGGGGAUAACAUUCGGAAACGGAUGCUAAAACCGCAUAGGUUCCUUAGUUGCAUGACUGAGGAAGGAAAAGAGGCGUAAGCUUCUGCUGGUGGAUGGACCCGCGGUGCAUUAGCUAGUUGGUGAGGUAACGGCUCACCAAGGCGAUGAUGCAUAGCCGACCUGAGAGGGUGAUCGGCCACAUUGGGACUGAGACACGGCCCAAACUCCUACGGGAGGCAGCAGUAGGGAAUCUUCCGCAAUGGACGCAAGUCUGACGGAGCAACGCCGCGUGAGUGAAGAAGGUUUUCGGAUCGUAAAACUCUGUUGUUAGAGAAGAAUAAGCAUAAUAGUAACUGAUUAUGCCGUGACCGUU
This 489-nucleotide ribosomal RNA is filed under the name Granulicatella sp. canine oral taxon 095. RNAcentral describes it as "bacterial SSU rRNA". It matches the Rfam family "Bacterial small subunit ribosomal RNA", at positions 9 to 477 of the family's 1533-position model. Lineage: Bacteria; Bacillati; Bacillota; Bacilli; Lactobacillales; Carnobacteriaceae. The record is from RNAcentral.